UACCGGCGGCUCGAGUGGUGGCCGAUAUUAUUGAGUCUAAAGGGUCCGUAGCCGGCUUUGCAAGUCCCCUGGGAAAUCCAGCGGCUUAACCGUUGGGCGCCCAUGGGAUACUACAUUGCUUGGGACUGGGAGAGGCGAGAGGUACUCGAGGGGUAGGGGUGAAAUCCUGUAAUCCUUCGGGGACCACCGGUGGCGAAGGCGUCUCGCCAGAACAGGUCCGACGGUGAGGGACGAAAGCUAGGGGCACGAACCGG
Molecule: ribosomal RNA, 254 nt
Filed under: uncultured bacterium
Lineage: Bacteria
Description: partial 16S ribosomal RNA
Rfam family: Archaeal small subunit ribosomal RNA
Source: RNAcentral